AGCGAACGCUGGCGGCAGGCUUAACACAUGCAAGUCGAGCGGGCAUCCUUGUGGUGUCAGCGGCAGACGGGUGAGUAACGCGUGGGAACGUGCCCUUCGGUUCGGAAUAACUCAGGGAAACUUGAGCUAAUACCGGAUACGUGCGAGAGCAGAAAGGUUUAUCUGCCGAAGGAUCGGCCCGCGUCUGAUUAGCUAGUUGGUGAGGUUACGGCUCACCAAGGCGACGAUCAGUAGCUGGUCUGAGAGGAUGAUCAGCCACACUGGGACUGAGACACGGCCCAGACUCCUACGGGAGGCAGCAGUGGGGAAUAUUGGACGAUGGGGGCAACCCUGAUCCAGCCAUGCCGGGUGAGUGAUGACGGCCUUAGGGUUGUAAAGCUCUUUUCUCCGGGACGAUAAUGACGGUACCGGAGGAAUAAGCCCCGGCUAACUUCGUG
RNAcentral lists this ribosomal RNA (437 nucleotides) under uncultured bacterium. RNAcentral's name for it is "partial 16S ribosomal RNA". It matches the Rfam family "Bacterial small subunit ribosomal RNA", at positions 29 to 507 of the family's 1533-position model. The record is from RNAcentral.